This is a long non-coding RNA of Neogobius melanostomus (round goby), 490 nucleotides long. NCBI's taxonomy places the organism in Eukaryota, Metazoa, Chordata, Actinopteri, Gobiiformes, Gobiidae. The record is from Ensembl.
CUAGAGAGGCUCGCGCAGGCGCAGCUUCAGAAGUAAACGAGCUGUGGCCUGAUCAACAACGUCUCCUCUGUGUCUGUCCACAGAUGAGUGGGAAAAGAGACCACAUGAUGCAUCAUCUGUACACACCCAGCACCCAGGAAUGUCUGAUUUCUCUGUUCUGCACCAGCCUUAUGCAUGCCCCUCUGAACUCAAAAAGACCCUGGCUUCUGCAUCCAGCCCCAAGUGUACAGCCCCAUUUGGUCCACAACUCUACCCCAGGCCCCCUCUCUCCCUCAGCCAAGUGGAGUCCCUACAAAACGUGGUGCAGAACUGGAGUUAAUUGUUUGCAGAAAUGUUCAGAACAAAAACGAAAACCUAUUUAAAUUUGACUCGAUGUGAUGUAAAAAAUAAAGUGAAAUGCUUUUAUUGUUUUAUUUUUUGGUUUGGGGCAUACGUUUUUAAAAAGUUUAUAUAUAUAUAUAUUUAUUUCUGCAAUAUUUGUUGUCUUGCA